Molecule: ribosomal RNA, 69 nt
Filed under: Escherichia coli
Lineage: Bacteria; Pseudomonadati; Pseudomonadota; Gammaproteobacteria; Enterobacterales; Enterobacteriaceae
Description: partial 16S ribosomal RNA
Rfam family: Bacterial small subunit ribosomal RNA (bases 1-57)
Source: RNAcentral
GGGGUGAAGUCGUAACAAGGUAACCGUAGGGGAACCUGCAGUUGGAUCACCUCCUUACCUUAAAGAAGC